AGCGAACGCUGGCGGCAGGCCUAACACAUGCAAGUCGAACGAACCUUUCGGGGUUAGUGGCGGACGGGUGAGUAACACGUGGGAACGUGCCUUUAUGUUCGGAAUAACUCAGGGAAACUUGUGCUAAUACCGAAUGUGCCCUUCGGGGGAAAGAUUUAUCGCCUUUAGAGCGGCCGGCGUCUGAUUAGCUGGUUGGUUGAGGUAAUGGCUCACCAAGGCGGCGAUCAGUAGCUGGUAUGAGAGGAUGGUCAGAACCAUUGGGGCUGGGACACGGCCCAAAUCCUUAGGGAGGGGCGAAAGGGGGAUGGUGCCACACGGGGUGAGAGACGAAGGUCUCCGGACCGUGAAAAUGAGUAAGGUGUGAGGAAUAUAAAUUUUUUUCACCGGGGACAUUAUGGCGGGACCCAAGCAGAAAGCCCCCGCUAACUUCGUG
Molecule: ribosomal RNA, 433 nt
Filed under: uncultured bacterium
Lineage: Bacteria
Description: partial 16S ribosomal RNA
Rfam family: Bacterial small subunit ribosomal RNA
Source: RNAcentral